CCUAAAGCCAUGACACCACCUCCUUUAUAUAUAACAUAUCGCCAUCAACUAACGUAACGUUUCCUUUUUGUUUAUGCAGGAUAUCUUGUUUUGGGCUGGAGUGGACCAAAACAGAAUUGGAAUUUGAGCUUAUUAUUCUACAAUCUCCACCAUAGGCCCACAUUACGAUUUUUCUUCAAGUCACCACCUUGACGUUAUCGACGCCGCGUUCCUUCUUCUUCCUCUUUGAUCUGAAAAUUGAUCUGAGCCGGUGAACACUUCGCCGAGUUUCUUAACUGAAGAACAGCCUUUCUCUUGAAGCCAUGAGAAUUCUAUUCUCCUCCUCUCUUUGGAGGCCAAACCUUCACAGCCCAUGAUCAGCAUGACGAACAAGUAAUUCGAUGACAACUUCGCUGAAUUGCUUCGCCGCCGAAUCACUACUCCUCCUCCUUGUCUUUGCCGUGUGUCACUCUUGAAGAUUAAACCAUAAUUGCUAUUCUCUCUCAUCUCCUUUUCACUAAGAAUCCUUAAGACAAUGAUGACGUCUCAUCAACAAAUCCUACCGUCGACGACUCAUGUAGAACGUACGCUGCUACUCUGUCUUCAACCUUCCUCGUCUUGAUUCCAGAGAUCAAUUCAACUACCCAAAUCUCCAGCUCGUUUUCUGCAAACUCCGACCUUACCUCUAAAUAUUCUUCAUUGUGGUUGAUCCAUGGCUCAACCUUGUCGGAUUACUGCAGCACUCUGUGAGAUGUGAUUCUUCAACCGGCAUAUUUCUUUCAUGUGUUUCCCGUUAUCCGUUUCUCCUGCUUGCUCAAACUUCGUUCUUCAGCUUCUCGCCUAGGUACUCGUCUCCCUUCAGCCUUUCUUGUCGUUUAAGACGUUCUCUCAGGUGACCCUUUAGAGACUCCUCCGUUACUCCGACGAAACCAUGAACCUGUUUCCCUUCAACUUCCUUGUAAAGUUAUCCACUUCUCUUUACAUGUUUUAAGUUGACGAUUGUGAUGUUAAACUCAUCCAGUGAUCUUGUUGUGCUUUAUUUUUCAAUUGAGAUACUCGUCUCCCUUCAGUUUUCCUCUGUGAUUGCUCUCCACUGCAGUAGCUGUUUAAGACUUUUUCUCAUGUUCCUCAUCCGUUUCUUCAGAGCAUUUGAGUGAAUUUUUCUUGUGUCUUAGCUGCUCCACCUUGAGCUAAAACCUCUGCCUCGCAGCUAUGCUCAAAUGUAACUUUCUUUAAACUCCACCUCCUUGAGUUUUCCAUUAUCAAUAUAAACCCGAAACUGACUUGUUUCUUCUCAUCUGUCUCUGCGAGCUUGAGACAGCGUUGAUAAUGGAGUUACCUGGAGCGUCUCCCUUCUUAAGCGAUCAAGGAACAGCAGCGAACCUGAAACUCCGGCCCAGAUACUGCUUUACUUUGAGAAUCUUCUUGAUUAUUGCUCUUCAGAUGCAGCCAUAAUGUGUGCUAAGAAAUCACCAUCUUUUUGCCUUACUUCUUUUGCAAAAAAAACAUCAUCCGUUGAAGAUUCUGUCUGAGAUUCUUCACUGCUCUCUUUAGACUCAUUUUUUCUGUUGAAAAAGAGUCUCCACCUUGAGCUGAUGCGUCUUUUGUUUCAAAACCGUACGGAGUAGGUCCCUGAAUCAGAUUUGUAGAAAACGUCACCUUCUUUGACUUCUUCUUUCUGAUUUCUUUCUCCACUCUAGGCAAGUCUUCUUACUCUUAGCAAUUGUACCUUGUAGAUAAUAAACUCCAUCUUGAUAUUUUCCUGAUAUCACCUUCUUAUUAUCUUUAUAGAA
This is a long non-coding RNA of Raphanus sativus (radish), 1772 nucleotides long. RefSeq lists it as uncharacterized. The record is from RefSeq and is a predicted model, not a curated record. NCBI's taxonomy places the organism in Eukaryota, Viridiplantae, Streptophyta, Magnoliopsida, Brassicales, Brassicaceae. The transcript has 5 exons.